RNAcentral lists this small RNA (95 nucleotides) under Salmonella enterica. RNAcentral describes it as "partial RtT sRNA". It matches the Rfam family "RtT RNA", at positions 1 to 93 of the family's 130-position model. From Rfam's summary of the family: This family represents a bacterial cis-regulatory element known as RtT RNA. The exact function of RtT is unknown although it is thought that it may be involved in changing the cellular response in relation to amino acid starvation. The record is from RNAcentral. Lineage: Bacteria; Pseudomonadati; Pseudomonadota; Gammaproteobacteria; Enterobacterales; Enterobacteriaceae.
GUUUGCACUUGUCGGGGAAGGGUGAGAACCUUCGAUUAAGGUUCGACUCGAGCGAAAGCGAGAGAACGUUGCCAACGGCAACGGCCCGUAGGGUG